AGUGAACGCUGGCGGUAGGCCUAACACAUGCAAGUCGAACGGCAGCACAGUAAGAGCUUGCUCUUACGGGUGGCGAGUGGCGGACGGGUGAGGAAUACAUCGGCAUCUACUUUUUCGUGGGGGAUAACGUAGGGAAACUUACGCUAAUACAGCAUACGACCUACGGGUGAAAGCAGGGGAUCUUCGGACCUUGCGCGUUUGAAUGAGCCGAUGUCGGAUUAGCUAGUUGGCGGGGUAAAGUCCCACCAAGGCGACGAUCCGUAGCUGGUCUGAGAGGAUGAUCAGCCACACUGGAACUGAGACACGGUCCAGACUCCUACGGGAGGCAGCAGUGGGGAAUAUUGGACAAUGGGCGCAAGCCUGAUCCAGCCAUACCGCGUGGGUGAAGAAGGCCUUCGGGUUGUAAAGCCCUUUUGUUGGGAAAGAAAAGCAGCAGGUUAAUACCCCGCUGUUCUGACGGUACCCAAAGAAUAAGCACCGGCUAACUACGUG
This 492-nucleotide ribosomal RNA is filed under the name uncultured bacterium. Its description in RNAcentral is "partial 16S ribosomal RNA". It matches the Rfam family "Bacterial small subunit ribosomal RNA", at positions 29 to 507 of the family's 1533-position model. The record is from RNAcentral.